AUUGAACGCUGGCGGCAUGCUUUACACAUGCAAGUCGAACGGCAGCGGGGGCUUCGGCCUGCCGGCGAGUGGCGAACGGGUGAGUAAUGCAUCGGAACGUGCCCAUGUCGUGGGGGAUAACGUAUCGAAAGGUACGCUAAUACCGCAUACGCCCUGAGGGGGAAAGCGGGGGGAUUCUUCGGAACCUCGCGCGAUUGGAGCGGCCGAUGUCGGAUUAGCUAGUUGGUGGGGUAAAGGCCUACCAAGGCGACGAUCCGUAGCGGGUCUGAGAGGAUGAUCCGCCACACUGGGACUGAGACACGGCCCAGACUCCUACGGGAGGCAGCAGUGGGGAAUUUUGGACAAUGGGCGGAAGCCUGAUCCAGCCAUGCCGCGUGAGUGAAGAAGGCCUUCGGGUUGUAAAGCUCUUUCGGCGGGGAAGAAAUUGCUUGGGUUAAUACCCUGAGUAGAUGACGGUACCCGAAUAAGAAGCACCGGCUAACUACGUG
RNAcentral lists this ribosomal RNA (488 nucleotides) under uncultured bacterium. RNAcentral describes it as "bacterial SSU rRNA". It matches the Rfam family "Bacterial small subunit ribosomal RNA", at positions 29 to 507 of the family's 1533-position model. The record is from RNAcentral.